Lolium rigidum is the source of this 84-nucleotide small nucleolar RNA. The record is from RefSeq and is a predicted model, not a curated record. NCBI's taxonomy places the organism in Eukaryota, Viridiplantae, Streptophyta, Magnoliopsida, Poales, Poaceae.
UGCAAUAUGUGAUGCAAACAAUCCCAUUUGCCGACUCACCGGGAUUAUUAUAAACAAGAUCACCAUCUUUCGGUUGAGGUUUCA